RNAcentral lists this long non-coding RNA (2271 nucleotides) under Octopus vulgaris (common octopus). The record is from RNAcentral. Lineage: Eukaryota; Metazoa; Mollusca; Cephalopoda; Octopoda; Octopodidae.
GUGUGUAUCAUCAUUGUUGUUAACAUCCGCUUUCCAUGCUGGCAUGGGUUGGACAGCUUGACUGAGGACUGGUGAGCCAGAAGGCUGCACCAGGCUCAGCCUGAUCUGGCAAAGUUUCUACAGCAGGAUGCCCAGCAUUAAUCAUGUUCUAUGGACACAAAUGUGUCUCUUGAGGCCUGCUGGUGCCUUGCAAACCAUUUGGCAAAUGGAACAAGUUGAGGACUCAGUUUGCUUGAGUGCUUUUGGAUCAUUUACUAUGUGUUUUCUUGAGUGGAUGGCAAGGCUUUCUUUGCUUCAUGCCACAAAACCAUGAUGGGAAAGGUUUCCAUUUAGAGGAGCAGUAUUUUGCUUACAUGAAGUUGGUUCUGAUGUUGUUGUCAACUUUGCUCAAAUCUUUGAACUGAAGAAAAGCAGGACCAGCACCAGGUUCUGGAUUCUAAUGUAUGUGUGUGUGUGUGUAACAGCUGCUGGACUGGAUAGCAUUCUACCUGAAGUUUGGAAAACAGGAAAAUUCAAUGAUAUUGUGUUAGGCUUUGACAAUAAGGUCUACAAUGGAGGCAAUAUGGACAAAUAGACAGAAUACUGCAUACUCCCAUUUCCCAAGAAAGGCAAUUUCUCACAAAGAACUACAAAGGUAUCAUUCUUACAACAAUCACUGCAAAAAUUUAUAAUUCAUUCCUACUCAACAGGAUACAAUCAGAAAUUAAGUUUUGGCAAGAAAUUAAAAUAGCUUCAGAAAGAAUAGAUUAACUAUUGGAAGAAGUAAAAGCCAGAAAUCUUGAAGCAGUAUUACUGUUCGUUGAUUUCUCAAAGGCUUUUGACUCCAUCCAUCAUGGUAAAAUGGAAAAAAUACUACCGGUCUAUGGUAUUCUUGAAUAAACAACAACAGCAAUUAUGAUGUUCUAUAGCAAUAUCAAAGCCUGAAUACUCCAGGAGUACAUACUGGCACCUUUUCUCUUUGUGAUCACUGUGGGCUUUGUCCUCAGAACAUCACUUGACAAUCUAAACUUUCUCAGUUUCACACUCGCAAAAAAGAAGAUUGAUCAAACAUCUGGGCCAAAAGAUAACCAAUUUAGACUAUGCUGAUAAUUUAGCCUUGCUCUCUGACACAAUAUCCAACUCCACUCACUUACAUCACAGUCUAGAAUUAGCUUCACAUGAUGUUGGACUACUCGUUAAUCCUAGUAAAACCAAGUUCAUUGUUCACAAUCAGCAAAGAUGCAUCCCCAACCUCAGUGGAAAAAAUAAGUGCUAGGGUUGGUAUGUUUAACUAAAAUUCUUAGGCAGUGCUCCAGCAUGGUUGCAGUCUAAAAGACUGAAAUAAAUAAAAGAUGCACACACACAUACAUGUGCACACUCGUUUGUUUGUUUGUAUGUAUGUGUUUGUGCCUCCUUGUCUUGUUAUUGAGCAAUAAUUGUAAACAAUCCUCACCUUCACAUAAGCAGUGUUGUUCAUUUCUAAUCUUCUGUGUAAGCAGGCCUGGCCAUGGGGAAAUAUUACCUUAUUUGGAAAUAGAAGUUGGCAACAGGAAGAGUGUCCAGCCAUAGAAAAUUAUCAUUCAAUGAAUUCUGUCUGACCCAUGCAAGUGUGGAAAAGUGGACAUUAAAAUGAAGAUGACAUUGAUGAGGAUGAUGGUGAUGAUAUAUAUCACAGAUUUAGAUAAAUAAAUGCUGACACUAAUGUGUGUUUGUUUAGGGAUUUAUUUGAAUUAGUUUUGAGAUAUCAGCAGAGAAUCUAAUUUACUUUUCAUAGAUUAAAACACAUUUUAGCCAAGGUCUGUUGAACACUUCAACAAUUUUCCCUAUUCAUAAGAAUUAAUUUUUUUUAUUGCUAUUGAAAUACUUCUUAUCAAUUCCAUUGGUAAAACUUUAAAUGUUCAUUUGAGCAAAACCUAUCUUAUGAUAGGUUCCUAUACAUCCAAUCUGUUAAUGUUAGCUCACCAUGUAUGUAAUUGUCUCUCUAUCUUUUCUGUAACUGUAACCUAUCCUACCUACUCAGUAUCUGUCUGUCCAUCCAUCUUAGCUGUUUUACUUCCAGUCAUCCCUUGUAUAUAUUAAGCCAUUUUGCUAUGAACACCCUUAAUUUCUUCAACUCACCAGUCAUAGAAUUCUCUGAAGAUUUCAUUUUACAGCAGGUUUAACAUUCAAAAUACACUAUUUCUACUUCUGAAAACUGUAUGAAAAUCAAUAUUCUUGUUUAUGUGUAUGAGUCAUGUGUGUGUGUUUAAAUCAUGAACCAUGUUUAAAUUUUUCUCACAAAAUACAGUGAAG